UACGAAGGGGGCUAGCGUUGUUCGGAAUCACUGGGCGUAAAGGGCGCGUAGGCGGCUUUAUAAGUCGGGUGUGAAAUCCCACGGCUCAACCGUGGAAGUGCAUUCGAAACUGCAGAGCUUGAAUAUGGUAGAGGAGAGUAGAAUUCCUGGUGUAGUGGUGAAAUACGUAGAUAUCAGGAGGAAUACCGGUGGCGAAGGCGACUCUCUGGACCAAUAUUGACGCUGAGAAACGAAAGUGCGGGGAUCAAACAGG
RNAcentral lists this ribosomal RNA (253 nucleotides) under uncultured bacterium. Its description in RNAcentral is "partial 16S ribosomal RNA". It matches the Rfam family "Bacterial small subunit ribosomal RNA", at positions 524 to 776 of the family's 1533-position model. The record is from RNAcentral.